CCCAUGUGUGGCAUCCUGAUUACUGUAUCAGCUCUGCUGCCGGAGCAGAGGGAGAGGCAAGCGCAGGUGACCGAUAGGCAUGCCACUGUCCUCUGUGGCUGGCAGACGGAGGGCAGGGAUGUCGUGGCGGCAUGGUCCCCAUCCAUGCUCCUGACGCUGCAGGCUCUGACAGCUUAUCCCUCACCACCACUUGCCUGCCACCCGGGGUGUCUAAGCGCACAGGCGAAGCUCUGUGUGAGAUGACUGGCUGUACUCUGUGUAGCCUCUAGGGACUGUCUCAGACCUGGCUGGCGGCUUGAAGAGGUAUGCCUCAUUGGGACGCUGGCACUCCAGACUGCCCUCCUACUAUAUCUGCCAAGCACAAAUCCAACAGAAAACCCAAGUCCACUCUGCUCAGAGAAGCCCAACCUGAAACGUCUGAGAAACCAGGAGAGCACAGCAGCCCUGAAAACCACCAUGUGCAUCUGGAACUGGCAAGAAAUGGCCAAUCAGAGAGCACAGUGCUGGGGAUGGCAGAAAAUCAAAUCAUGAUGAAGAGGAGACAGACAGG
Molecule: long non-coding RNA, 550 nt
Organism: Apodemus sylvaticus (European woodmouse)
Lineage: Eukaryota; Metazoa; Chordata; Mammalia; Rodentia; Muridae
Exons: 3
Source: RefSeq, a predicted model, not a curated record